RNAcentral lists this ribosomal RNA (737 nucleotides) under Bursaphelenchus parvispicularis. Its description in RNAcentral is "eukaryotic LSU rRNA". It matches the Rfam family "Eukaryotic large subunit ribosomal RNA", at positions 367 to 944 of the family's 3401-position model. Lineage: Eukaryota; Metazoa; Nematoda; Chromadorea; Rhabditida; Aphelenchoididae. RNAcentral also lists the same sequence under 1 other name. The record is from RNAcentral.
AAAAGUACUUUGAAAAGAGAGUGCAAGAGAACGUGAAACCGGUGUAAUGGAAGCAUAUGGAGUUGACGUAUCUGGUGCGUAUUCAGUCGUUGAACGUCGUGAUUGCGAUGUGUGCCAUUCCGCAAGGUUGGCCGCGUUGUAUUGUUGCGGUGUUCGGCGGUGCAUUUGCGUACGGAGUGUGCCGAGUCGCGUGAUGGCGCCAAUCUAAGCCGUUCGAGAGGACAUUGCUUCGGCGGUGAAACCUUGGACUGUGGAGGUUGGUUGUCGGUUGCGUGAGUGUUGUUGGCGCCUACGUGUGCCGUAGUGUCGAUUUGGCCGGUUUGUGUUGUACGCAUGCGUGCGUCACUUAUGGGUUUUGUCGAUGUUGCGGUGUGCAUGGUGCUCUUCUUCGGUAUUCAGUCAAUGACCCAUUUGACCCGUCUUGAAACACGGACCAAGGAGUUUAAGGUAUACGCAAGUCAUUGGGCUUUUCGAAACCCAAAGGCGUAAUGAAAGUGAGAUCUUAUUGGUUUGAAUGUGAUCGGUGUUCGGUUUCGACUGGCGUCGAGCAACAUUGCCCCGUUUCGAGGACUUGUCCUGUUGCGGAGGUUGAGCGUAUGCUUUGAGACCCGAAAGAUGGUGAACUAUGCCUGAACAGGAUGAAGCCAGAGGAAACUCUGGUGGAAGUCCGAAGCGGUUCUGACGUGCAAAUCGAUCGUCUGAUUUUGGUAUAGGGGCGCAAGACUAAUCGAACCAUC